UCGAACGAUGAUGCCCACUUGUGGGUGGAUUAGUGGCGAACGGGUGAGUAACACGUGAGUAACCUGCCCUUGACUCUGGGAUAAGCCUGGGAAACUGGGUCUAAUACCGGAUAUGACCUUCCAUCGCAUGGUGGUUGGUGGAAAGCUUUUGUGGUUUUGGAUGGACUCGCGGCCUAUCAGCUUGUUGGUGGGGUAAUGGCCUACCAAGGCGACGACGGGUAGCCGGCCUGAGAGGGUGACCGGCCACACUGGGACUGAGACACGGCCCAGACUCCUACGGGAGGCAGCAGUGGGGAAUAUUGCACAAUGGGCGCAAGCCUGAUGCAGCGACGCCGCGUGAGGGAUGACGGCCUUCGGGUUGUAAACCUCUUUCAGUAGGGAAGAAGCGUAAGUGACGGUACCUGCAGAAGAAGCGCCGGCUAACUACGUGCCAGCAGCCGCGGUAAUACGUAGGGCGCAAGCGUUAUCCGGAAUUAUUGGGCGUAAAGAGCUCGUAGGCGGUUUGUCGCGUCUGCCGUGAAAGUCCGGGGCUCAACUCCGGAUCUGCGGUGGGUACGGGCAGACUAGAGUGAUGUAGGGGAGACUGGAAUUCCUGGUGUAGCGGUGAAAUGCGCAGAUAUCAGGAGGAACACCGAUGGCGAAGGCAGGUCUCUGGGCAUUAACUGACGCUGAGGAGCGAAAGCAUGGGGAGCGAACAGGAUUAGAUACCCUGGUAGUCCAUGCCGUAAACGUUGGGCACUAGGUGUGGGGGACAUUCCACGUUUUCCGCGCCGUAGCUAACGCAUUAAGUGCCCGCCUGGGGAGUACGGCCGCAAGCUAAACUCAAGGAAUUGACGGGGGCC
This 842-nucleotide ribosomal RNA is filed under the name Pseudarthrobacter defluvii. RNAcentral describes it as "bacterial SSU rRNA". It matches the Rfam family "Bacterial small subunit ribosomal RNA", at positions 62 to 921 of the family's 1533-position model. The record is from RNAcentral. Lineage: Bacteria; Bacillati; Actinomycetota; Actinomycetes; Micrococcales; Micrococcaceae.